Molecule: ribosomal RNA, 497 nt
Filed under: uncultured bacterium
Lineage: Bacteria
Description: partial 16S ribosomal RNA
Rfam family: Bacterial small subunit ribosomal RNA
Source: RNAcentral
GAUGAACGCUGGCGGCGUGCCUAAUACAUGCAAGUCGAGCGAACAGAUGAGGAGCUUGCUCCUCUGACGUUAGCGGCGGACGGGUGAGUAACACGUGGAUAACCUACCUAUAAGACUGGGAUAACUUCGGGAAACCGGCGCUAAUACCGGAUAAUCUAUUGAACCGCAUGGUUCAAUAGUGAAAGACGGUUUUGCUGUCACUUAUAGAUGGAUCCGCGCCGCAUUAGCUAGUUGGUAAGGUAACGGCUUACCAAGGCGACGAUGCGUAGCCGACCUGAGAGGGUGAUCGGCCACACUGGAGCUGAGACACGGUCCAGACUCCUACGGGAGGCAGCAGUAGGGAAUCUUCCGCAAUGGGCGAAAGCCUGACGGAGCAACGCCGCGUGAGUGAUGAAGGUCUUCGGAUCGUAAAACUCUGUUAUUAGGGAAGAACAAAUGUGUAAGUAACUAUGCACGUCUUGACGGUACCUAAUCAGAAAGCCACGGCUAACUACGUG